This 331-nucleotide unclassified non-coding RNA is filed under the name Scleroderma areolatum. Its description in RNAcentral is "partial internal transcribed spacer region". The stretch from base 1 to 46 matches the Rfam family "Eukaryotic small subunit ribosomal RNA", at positions 1786 to 1831 of the family's 1831-position model. Lineage: Eukaryota; Fungi; Basidiomycota; Agaricomycetes; Boletales; Sclerodermataceae. The record is from RNAcentral.
AAGUCGUAACAAGGUUUCCGUAGGUGAACCUGCGGAAGGAUCAUUAUCGAAACAGAACGCCCGGGGGGAAAGGGGGGGCGCCGACGGCCCGAGACUGUCGCCGGCCUCGCGCGCGUGCACGUCCCUCGCCGUCGCUCUUUCCGACCCUUCGAGGCUUUCGACCUUCUCAACACCUGUGCACCCGCUGUAGGUCCUUCGGGACCUACGUCUUUCUUCGAACCCGCAUGUCUACAGAACGUAUUCGUCGCGUCCCGGCCUCGACCCUCAGGGUCCCGCGUCGGCGACCGCAAAACCUAUUAUACAACUUUCAGCAACGGAUCUCUUGGCUCUC